Molecule: ribosomal RNA, 499 nt
Filed under: uncultured bacterium
Lineage: Bacteria
Description: partial 16S ribosomal RNA
Rfam family: Bacterial small subunit ribosomal RNA
Source: RNAcentral
GACGAACGCUGGCGGCGUGCUUAACACAUGCAAGUCGAACGGGCCCGCCCCUGUUUUUGGGGGUGGGUUGAGUGGCGAACGGGUGAGUAUCACGUGAGUAACCUGCCCCCUGCUCCUGGAUAACUGCUUGAAAGGGCGGCUAAUACGGGGUGUGCCGGCUGGUCCGCAUGGGCCUGGUCGGGAUAGUUUCAUCUUCGGGUGUUUCGGUGGGGGAUGGGCUCGCGGCCUAUCAGCUUGUUGGGGGGGUGAUGGCCCACCAAGGCGGUGACGGGUAGCCGGCCUGAGAGGGUGGGCGGCCACACUGGGACUGAGACACGGCCCAGACUCCUGCGGGAGGCAGCAGUGGGGGGUAUUGCACAAUGGGCGGAAGCCUGAUGCAGCGACGUCGCGUGAGGGAUGGAGGCCUUCGGGUUGUGAACCUCUUUCUCCGGUGGUGAAGGCCCUGUCCGUUGCGGCGGGGUUGACGGUAGCCGGGUAUGAAGCGCCGGCUAACUACGUG